RNAcentral lists this ribosomal RNA (496 nucleotides) under uncultured Achromobacter sp. Its description in RNAcentral is "bacterial SSU rRNA". It matches the Rfam family "Bacterial small subunit ribosomal RNA", at positions 77 to 569 of the family's 1533-position model. Lineage: Bacteria; Pseudomonadati; Pseudomonadota; Betaproteobacteria; Burkholderiales; Alcaligenaceae. The record is from RNAcentral.
ACUUCGGUCUGGUGGCGAGUGGCGAACGGGUGAGUAAUGUAUCGGAACGUGCCCAGUAGCGGGGGAUAACUACGCGAAAGCGUAGCUAAUACCGCAUACGCCCUACGGGGGAAAGCAGGGGAUCGCAAGACCUUGCACUAUUGGAGCGGCCGAUAUCGGAUUAGCUAGUUGGUGGGGUAACGGCUCGCCAAGGCGACGAUCCGUAGCUGGUUUGAGAGGACGACCAGCCACACUGGGACUGAGACACGGCCCAGACUCCUACGGGAGGCAGCAGUGGGGAAUUUUGGACAAUGGGGGAAACCCUGAUCCAGCCAUCCCGCGUGUGCGAUGAAGGCCUUCGGGUUGUAAAGCACUUUUGGCAGGAAAGAAACGUCAUGGGUUAAUACCCCGUGAAACUGACGGUACCUGCAGAAUAAGCACCGGCUAACUACGUGCCAGCAGCCGCGGUAAUACGUAGGGUGCAAGCGUUAAUCGGAAUUACUGGGCGUAAAGCGUG